CUGGGUGUGGCGCAGCUGGUAGCGCGCUACCUUGGGGUGGUAGAGGCCGUGGGUUCAAGUCCCGUCACUCAGA
Molecule: transfer RNA, 73 nt
Filed under: Oscillospiraceae bacterium
Lineage: Bacteria; Bacillati; Bacillota; Clostridia; Eubacteriales; Oscillospiraceae
Description: tRNA-Pro
Rfam family: tRNA
About the family: Transfer RNA (tRNA) molecules are approximately 80 nucleotides in length. Their secondary structure includes four short double-helical elements and three loops (D, anti-codon, and T loops).
Source: RNAcentral